ACCUCAUCACGAGGGACUGAGGGAACGGCCCGACGACGUCCCGGCAACCGCCGCGAACCUCCUGCCACCACGGCAGUCGCGGAAACGGUGCCAAUUCCGUCCCGGUGCGAAAGCCGCCCGGGGUAGAUGAGAA
Molecule: non-coding RNA, 133 nt
Filed under: Nocardioides sp.
Lineage: Bacteria; Bacillati; Actinomycetota; Actinomycetes; Propionibacteriales; Nocardioidaceae
Description: SAM-I sequence
Rfam family: SAM riboswitch aptamer (S box leader)
About the family: The SAM riboswitch is found upstream of a number of genes which code for proteins involved in methionine or cysteine biosynthesis in Gram-positive bacteria. The SAM riboswitch acts at the level of transcription termination control. The predicted structure consists of a complex stem-loop region followed by a single stem loop terminator region.
Source: RNAcentral